UACAUGUGGGGCAAGCGUUGUUCGGAAUUACUGGGCCUAAAGGGUGCGUAGGCGGUUUGUUAAGUCAGGGGUGAAAGUUUUCGGCCCAACCGGAAAAUUGCCUUUGAUACUGGCGAACUUGAGUGCGUGAGGGGUAACCGGAACGAGCAGUGUAGCGGUGAAAUGCGUAGAUAUUGCUCGGAAGGCCAACGGCGAAGGCAGGUUACUGGUACGCAACUGACGCUGAGGCACGAAAGCUAGGGGAGCAAACAGG
This 253-nucleotide ribosomal RNA is filed under the name uncultured bacterium. RNAcentral describes it as "partial 16S ribosomal RNA". It matches the Rfam family "Bacterial small subunit ribosomal RNA", at positions 524 to 776 of the family's 1533-position model. The record is from RNAcentral.